ACCAGGGGAAAGCCGCAUUGAUAAAAAAGGAUUUGUGCAUCGGAACUCCCAAGCUGCUCUCUUUCGGAGCCCAAGAGAAGUUAUUUCCGAGAUCCUGUUUGCCUGCGCAGUGGCCAAUCAAUAAAUCCAGAGUCUCCAUCCUGUUGCACCGCCACUGUCAGACUGAAGAUCGCAAUCCCAGAUGGCAGAGAAGGGAAGGAUGAGGACAGGAAAGCGGAGGCUCGUGAUGAAUGGCUCCGCGAUUCUCGGUGUUUAGUCUCGCACGUUGUCGCAAGCAUCGCAUUAUCCAACGUUGUUUUCUUAGGCACUAUUUAUCGAUUCGAUGCGGUGUUGAUGGAUAGGAAGAGGUGAUGAUGCUUUCUACAUUUAAUUGCAAAGCCAUCGUUGGAAUCUGUGAGGCACUGGAAGGGCAAGAGGUUGCACUACAGCUAAGAAACUUAUUCUGGCAGCACAAAGGCCGGAGGCCUCCCCUCAGCCGCUCGGCGCAUCACGAAGCACAGGGUUACAUAGUAUUGAGUACACUGUGAC
RNAcentral lists this small RNA (528 nucleotides) under Histoplasma capsulatum. RNAcentral describes it as "hypothetical RNA". RNAcentral also lists the same sequence under 1 other name. Lineage: Eukaryota; Fungi; Ascomycota; Eurotiomycetes; Onygenales; Ajellomycetaceae. The record is from RNAcentral.